UGAGAUGACAAGUGCAGCCGCAGAACCCUCACCGGCUGUCUCCCUUCCUGAGCGUCUCUGAACUGACUGGCCCUUGGUGAAACUUCAGCCAACUAGGGCUUCAUUCCUUUCUCUGUCAGCCUUGCGAGUCUUGGACAUGCUUUUCUCACUGAGUUGUCAGCGUCUCUGGGUUUUCUCAUUGUGCACUGUGCACAGUGCCGGGCACAGAGUGUCUUCCUACCAUCCUUCUUGCUAGGGUCCUCUGCCAUUUGUGGAAGCCCCCUCUAUACCUCACACUGUCUUCUCACAGGGCAGCCUAUGCUGCCUUCCUGACUGUGUCCUGUGAUGGCGUGCAGGACUGCAAGGUCACUUUGCAGAGCGUCUGUUUUCUUAUUUAUAAAAUGGGAAUCAUAUCUAUCUUCUCUUUCUCCUGAGGUGGAGGUGAAGGUCAAGCACAGAGCCCUCCUGGCAUAUCCAGUGCUCUCUCCGUUAUGAGGAGGGGUAAGGAGUGAGGAUGGUGUUUCCGGGAAAGCAGAGGUGAGGCCCGCUGGACUCCAGGCAGCUCUCUGCUCUCCUUGCCUUUUGCCUCAGAUUUUUGCAUGUCAGUCGGUCUGGAGAGGAGAUGAUGCUCUGAAGGUGCUGCCUGGCUCUGAACUGUGGAAGCCAAGAGCUCUGGUGGGGUUGGAACUGAAGGUCCACCACAUUUGCCCCAAGAAGAACAUCCUUGCUGGCCUUGCUGAGGGAGCCUGGCAUGCAUCAUGCUUGGCAAUUGUCUUCCUGAGACUCCCCUGCUGGGACAGCGACAGGGCAUGGGGCCCUGAAUGCAUGACAACAACAACUGCAGGUCUCCUGACCCUUGUUUGUAGAGGUGGGUCAUCUCUAGUACCGACCUCCAUCCACCUGCGAAGCAGGGCUGGUCACUUUGUUACCAGCCACAGCCCUCCCCUGGAGGGAUCUGCAGUGUAAACGGAUCAUGUGAGUGCUGACCUUUGCAAAGGUCCAAAUGUGGUCAAUUCAGUUAUUCAUACCAGGCAAGGAAGCUGCCUUAUGAAUAAUUCAAAGUUGUUGCAAAUCCACAAACCUUUUUCACAUUGCCUGCUUGCAGUAGGCUCUCCAUAAAUGUUUACUGAAUCACUGAAUAAAUUAACAUAUGAAUGAAUAUUUUGCAAUAAGCUUUUGGUAUUUACAUUUGCACAUCCAUCUGUUGAUGCUCUGAGGAUCAGCAGCAGUCCUCACAAAAGGGCUCAGGCAUGCUCCCAAAACAGGCCAGAAAAGCCAAGUGGGCCAUGGUUCUCUCUUGCUCUGCAAGGGUGGCGGGGAAUAGAAAAAAAUGUUCCCAUGGCUGAUACAGCCUCUAGCUAGAAGCUGUGAGAUUCCUGACACACGCCAUGCCAGAUUUGUGUGGCUUAACACUUUUAUUCUGCUUUUAUAACCCUCUCCUCUAGCUUUGGUUAAAACUACUAUGUGGUCAGCAGAAUGGCCCCCCAAAGAUGUUUGGGCCCUCACCCCUGGAAACUGUGACUAUGUUACAUCAUGUGGGAAGAGGACUUUGCAGAUAUGAUUAAAGUUAUGGACCUUACAAUAGAGAAUUAUCUUGAAUUAUCUGGGCAGGCCCAACCAAAUCACAUGUGUCCUCAAAAGCGAAGAACUCUCUUCACGGGAGUCCGAGAGAUGGGGCUGAAGGAGAAGUGGGAGGGAUGGAAAGGUGAGAAUGCUCCAUGGGCUGUUAGGGGCUUGCAGAGGGUGGGGCAGUGAGUCCAGGAAUGCAGGUGGCCCCAAGGAGCUGA
RNAcentral lists this long non-coding RNA (1766 nucleotides) under Homo sapiens (human). RNAcentral's name for it is "HSALNT0247870". Lineage: Eukaryota; Metazoa; Chordata; Mammalia; Primates; Hominidae. The record is from RNAcentral.